Choloepus hoffmanni (Hoffmann's two-fingered sloth) is the source of this 107-nucleotide small nuclear RNA. The record is from Ensembl. Lineage: Eukaryota; Metazoa; Chordata; Mammalia; Pilosa; Megalonychidae.
GUGCUUGCUUUGGCAGCACAUGUACUGGAACUGGGGCAAUACAGAGAAGAUUAGAAUGGCCCCUGUAGAAAGAUGACAUAAAAAUUCGUAAAGGUGUCUUCUUUCUU